CCGGUGGCGGCUGGGCAUGCGGCGCAUUAGCUUGACGGCGGGGUAACGGCCCACCGUGGCGACGAUGCGUAGGGGUUCUGAGAGGAAGGCCCCCCACACUGGAACUGAGACACGGUCCAGACUCCUACGGGAGGCAGCAGUGAGGAAUAUUGGUCAAUGGGCGGAAGCCUGAACCAGCCAAGUCGCGUGAGGGAAUAAGGCCCUACGGGUCGUAAACCUCUUUUGCCGGGGAGCAAGGGCCGGGACGCGUCCCGGCCCGGAGAGUACCCGGAGAAAAAGCAUCGGCUAACUCCGUGCCAGCAGCCGCGGUAAUACGGAGGAUGCGAGCGUUAUCCGGAUUUAUUGGGUUUAAAGGGUGCGUAGGCGGGCUUUUAAGUCAGCGGUAAAAAUUCGGGGCUCAACCCCGUCCGGCCGUUGAAACUGGGGGCCUUGAGUGGGCGAGAAGAAGGCGGAAUGCGUGGUGUAGCGGUGAAAUGCAUAGAUAUCACGCAGAACCCCGAUUGCGAAGGCAGCCUUCCGGCGCCCGACUGACGCUGAGGCACGAAAGUGCGGGGAUCGAACAGGAUUAGAUACCCUGGUAGUCCGCACAGUAAACGAUGGAUGCCAGCUGUCCGGGCCGAAUGGGGCCUGG
This 631-nucleotide ribosomal RNA is filed under the name uncultured bacterium. RNAcentral describes it as "bacterial SSU rRNA". It matches the Rfam family "Bacterial small subunit ribosomal RNA", at positions 215 to 842 of the family's 1533-position model. The record is from RNAcentral.